GAUGAACGCUGGCGGCGUGCUUAACACAUGCAAGUCGAACGAAGCACUUUAUUUGAUUUCCUUCGGGACUGAUUAUUUUGUGACUGAGUGGCGGACGGGUGAGUAACGCGUGGGUAACCUGCCUUGUACAGGGGGAUAACAGUUGGAAACGGCUGCUAAUACCGCAUAAUCGCACGGCAUCGCAUGAUGCAGUGUGAAAAACUCCGGUGGUAUAAGAUGGACCCGCGUUGGAUUAGCUAGUUGGUGAGGUAACGGCCCACCAAGGCGACGAUCCAUAGCCGACCUGAGAGGGUGACCGGCCACAUUGGGACUGAGACACGGCCCAAACUCCUACGGGAGGCAGCAGUGGGGAAUAUUGCACAAUGGGCGAAAGCCUGAUGCAGCGACGCCGCGUGAGCGAAGAAGUAUUUCGGUAUGUAAAGCUCUAUCAGCAGGGAAGAUAAUGACGGUACCUGACGAAGAAGCACCGGCUAAAUACGUG
Molecule: ribosomal RNA, 481 nt
Filed under: uncultured bacterium
Lineage: Bacteria
Description: partial 16S ribosomal RNA
Rfam family: Bacterial small subunit ribosomal RNA
Source: RNAcentral